CCACAUCCAAGGAAGGCAGCAGGCGCGCAAAUUACCCACUCCCGGCACGGGGAGGUAGUGACGAAAAAUAACGAUACGGGACUCAUCCGAGGCCCCGUAAUCGGAAUGAGUACACUCUAAACCCUUUAACGAGGAUCAAUUGGAGGGCAAGUCUGGUGCCAGCAGCCGCGGUAAUUCCAGCUCCAAUAGCGUAUAUUAAAGUUGUUGCGGUUAAAAAGCUCGUAGUCGAAUCUGUGUCCCGCGCCGCCGGUUCAUCGCUCGCGGUGUUUAACUGGCGUGCCGCGAGACGUCCUGCCGGUGGGCUUAGCCCGUUCGCGGGCGGCCCAACUUCAAAUCCCACCGCGGUGCUCUUGACUGAGUGUCGAGGUGGGCCGGCACGUUUACUUUGAACAAAUUAGAGUGCUUAAAGCAGGCUAAAACUUCGCCUGAAUACUGUGUGCAUGGAAUAAUGGAAUAGGACCUCGGUUCUAUUUUGUUGGUUUUCGGAACCCCGAGGUAAUGAUUAAUAGGAACGGAUGGGGGCAUUCGUAUUGCGACGUUAGAGGUGAAAUUCUUGGAUCGUCGCAAGACGGACAGAAGCGAAAGCAUUUGCCAAAAACGCUUUCAUUGAUCAAGAACGAAAGUUAGAGGUUCGAAGGCGAUCAGAUACCGCCCUAGUUCUAACCAUAAACGAUGCCAGCUAGCGAUCCGCCGACGUUCCUCCGAUGACUCGGCGGGCAGCUUCCGGGAAACCAAAGCUUUUGGGUUCCGGGGGAAGUAUGGUUGCAAAGCUGAAACUUAAAGGAAUUGACGGAAGGGCACCACCAGGAGUGGAGCCUGCGGCUUAAUUUGACUCAACACGGGAAACCUCACCAGGCCCGGACACCGGAAGGAUUGACAGAUUGAGAGCUCUUUCUUGAUUCGGUGGGUGGUGGUGCAUGGCCGUUCUUAGUUGGUGGAGCGAUUUGUCUGGUUAAUUCCGAUAACGAACGAGACUCUAGCCUGCUAACUAGGCGUAUUUUCGACAUCUCAAAGGCCCGCCGGCCCGGCGUUUCGCGUCGCGGUUGGGCGCGGUUUUUACUGUCGGCGUACAAUCAAUUCUUCUUAGAGGGACAGGCGGCUUCUAGCCGCACGAGAUUGAGCAAUAACAGGUCUGUGAUGCCCUUAGAUGUUCUGGGCCGCACGCGCGCUACACUGAAGGAAUCAGCGUGUCCUCCCUGGCCGAGAGGCCCGGGUAACCCGCUGAACCUCCUUCGUGCUAGGGAUUGGGGCUUGCAAUUGUUCCCCAUGAACGAGGAAUUCCCAGUAAGCGCGAGUCAUAAGCUCGCGUUGAUUACGUCCCUGCCCUUUGUACACACCGCCCGUCGCUACUACCGAUUGAAUGAUUUAGUGAGGUCUUCGGACCGGUACGCGGCGGCGCUCCGCGUCGCCGAU
RNAcentral lists this ribosomal RNA (1413 nucleotides) under Tropisternus quadristriatus. RNAcentral's name for it is "SSU rRNA". It matches the Rfam family "Eukaryotic small subunit ribosomal RNA", at positions 410 to 1743 of the family's 1831-position model. The record is from RNAcentral. Lineage: Eukaryota; Metazoa; Arthropoda; Insecta; Coleoptera; Hydrophilidae.